GGACUGGUUCUGAUGCUUUCACCAGUAACAGAAGCUCAAGCUGUGCUCAACUGACCCCCAAGGAUCCAGCCUGUCUCUGGGAUUCUCUAGGCCGUCCCGGAACUCCUACCAUGACCAGGGAAGUGUAGGGUUGGGGUUUGGCCCUAGACCUCUUAUCUGUCCACCUGCAAAGCCGUUUUAGUAACAGAUUUGGAAGCAAAGUAAGGUUUUUGAUGGCAGCUUGGUCACCAGCACUUCACUUAGGAACCAGUGCUGGGGAAGCGGAUGGGACAAUUUCUGAGUGUCUCCUGGGACAGACACAUAGGCCAUCGCUCCGCUAGGGGCAUGGAGGGUAUGUGUGGGUCAAAUUGCUAAAUAAUCUCCAAAGCUCAUUACAAUUAAUGGGCCGACCUAUUCCCCAAUGCCUGCUUUACUGGAAUUGUUCGGCCCCAUCCUUCCCCCACAGUAGAGUGAGCCAAUUUAAAUUUUCAAUGCAGUUCUUCAGCACUUGUGUGAUGAUAAUCAGCUUACAGGUCAAGGACCUUGGCAAUUCACCAAGGAGAUUGUUACAUUUGAGCAAUUCACCAUUACAAUCCAUGGGCCCAGAGGUUCCAGGAGCCUGCUUCCAGCCACCUCCACCAGGAUGCCAGGCAUGGUCUCGCCAUGUUGCCCAGGCUGGUCUCAAACUCCUGGACUCAAGCAAUCCUCCCACCUCAGCCUCCCAAAGUGCUGGGAUUACAGGCAUGAGUCACCACAGCCAGCCCAGUACCUGCUUUUAAGGAGCUCAUACCGACCAGAGUUCAAGCAAAAAAAAAAAAAAAAAAAAAAGGUCUACUUAAACUUUGAAAGAUGAGAUUGUUCAAAAAUGACACGAGAAAAUCACCCAUCACCACUAAGUUAAAGACUUGAAUAUGUGAGAGUUCCAGAGCCUCAAACUCCUACUACAGUCACU
Long non-coding RNA from Homo sapiens (human), 931 nucleotides. Ensembl annotates it as EAF1 antisense RNA 1. Its record names the gene EAF1-AS1. NCBI's taxonomy places the organism in Eukaryota, Metazoa, Chordata, Mammalia, Primates, Hominidae. The record is from Ensembl.